Daucus carota subsp. sativus is the source of this 582-nucleotide long non-coding RNA. RefSeq lists it as uncharacterized. The record is from RefSeq and is a predicted model, not a curated record. The transcript is spliced from 3 exons. NCBI's taxonomy places the organism in Eukaryota, Viridiplantae, Streptophyta, Magnoliopsida, Apiales, Apiaceae.
GGUUAAGUGGAGUAUAUUAUACAAGAUUAAUAUAAAGUGUAAAGAAAAUCUCCAAGUCGCUCACUGAGUCACUCCAGCUCCUCUCUUCCCCACUCUAUUAUAUUGUUGUGGGUGCAUCUCAUUGGUAGUUGUGUGUAUACAUAUGUGUGAGUGUCUUAAAGUGAUAACUUGUGGCUUCACUUGAGAGAGAGCAGAAGAGAGAGUAGGAACUGAUUUGGAUCUGAAGAGGAAAAACAAGUGGUUGAAAUGGGGAUGGAUCCAAGACAACUAGUAGCAGGAGUGCUCACCGUAACAAUGUUGUAAUGCUUGGUAACAUGAUCCAUAGAGAACACUUUCGUGAUUUCUCUCCUCCUCUCAUUCAACAUCCGGAAUCCACAACCGUGCGUUUUGAAACUACUAACGCAGCUUCAGAAAACAGCCCCGAAAUUCUUACUAAGGAAAUCGAAGGCCCUUGGAAGGAGGAUGUCCUUGACCUUAAGCCCUGUUGGACGAAGCCAGUUUUGGAAGAGACAGAGCAAUCACAAGGCUUUGUGACUUUCUCCUUAACAAAUGGUCCUGAAUACCACGUCUCGCAGGUAUUCA